GGUUGCCGUGAGGCUUACCAUGCAAGUCGAGGGGUAACGAUGGUGCUUGCACCAGGCGACGACCGGCGCACGGGUGAGUAACGCGUAUGCAACCUACCCAUAACUUGGGGAUAGCCCGGAGAAAUUCGGAUUAAUACCCAAUAAUAUUUACCUAAGGCAUCUUAGGAAUCUUAAAAUUCAAGUGGUUAUGGAUGGGCAUGCGUAGCAUUAGAUUGUUGGUGAGGUAACGGCUCACCAAGUUGUCAAUGAUGCUUAGGGGGUCUUAAAGGAUGGUCCCCCACACUGGUACUGAGACACGGACCAGACUCCUACGGGAGGCAGCAGUGAGGAAUAUUGGUCAAUGGAGGAAACUCUGAACCAGCCAUGCCGCGUGCAGGAUGACAGCCCUAUGGGUUGUAAACUGCUUUUAUACAGGAAGAAACCUGAUUACGUGUAAUCAGCUGACGGUACUGUAAGAAUAAGGAUCGGCUAACUCCGUGCCAGCAGCCGCGGUAAUACGGAGGAUCCAAGCGUUAUCCGGAUUUAUUAGGUUUAAAGGGUGCGCAGGCGGAAGAAUUAGUCAGUGGUGAAAUCCUACAGCUUAACUGUAGAACUGCCAUUGAUACUGUUUUUCUUGAGUAUAGUUGAAGUAGGCGGAAUGUGUAGUGUAGCGGUGAAAUGCAUAGAUAUUACACAGAACACCAAUUGCGAAGGCAGCUUACUAAACUAUUACUGACGCUCAUGCACGAAAGCGUGGGGAGCGAACAGGAUUAGAUACCCUGGUAGUCCACGCCGUAAACGAUGAACACUCGUUGUCUGCGAUACAAUGUAGGCGACUGAGCGAAAGCAUUAAGUGUUCCACCUGGGGGAGUACGUUCGCAAGAAUGAAACUCAAAGGAAUUGACGGGGGGCCCGCACAAG
This 900-nucleotide ribosomal RNA is filed under the name CFB group bacterium epibiont of Rimicaris exoculata. RNAcentral describes it as "bacterial SSU rRNA". It matches the Rfam family "Bacterial small subunit ribosomal RNA", at positions 35 to 929 of the family's 1533-position model. Lineage: Bacteria; Pseudomonadati. The record is from RNAcentral.